RNAcentral lists this ribosomal RNA (481 nucleotides) under uncultured bacterium. RNAcentral describes it as "partial 16S ribosomal RNA". It matches the Rfam family "Bacterial small subunit ribosomal RNA", at positions 28 to 523 of the family's 1533-position model. The record is from RNAcentral.
GAUGAACGCUGGCGGCGUGCUUAACACAUGCAAGUCGAACGAUGAAGGGGGAGCUUGCUCCUCUGGAUUAGUGGCGAACGGGUGAGUAACACGUGAGCAAUCUGCCCCUGACUCUGGGAUAAGCGCUGGAAACGGCGUCUAAUACCAGAUACGAGCCGAGCAGGCAUCUGCAUCGGUUGGAAAGAACUUCGGUCUGGGAUGAGCUCGCGGCCUAUCAGCUUGUUGGUGAGGUAAUGGCUCACCAAGGCGACGACGGGUAGCCGGCCUGAGAGGGUGACCGGCCACACUGGGACUGGGACACGGCCCAGACUCCUACGGGAGGCAGCAGUGGGGAAUUUUGCGCAAGGGGGGCAACCCUGACGCAGCAACGCCGCGUGCGGGACGAAGGCGUCCGCGUCGUAAACCGCUUUCAGCGGGGAACACUUUUCGAGGGUACCCGCAGAAGAAGCCCCGGCUAAAUACGUGCCAGCCGCCGCCGUAA